UGAGAAUAUCCUAUGCAGAACUCUACAAAGCCACAAAAGGAUUCUCUUUGGACAACAUAAUUGGUAUUGGUAGUUAUGGCACUGUCUAUAAAGGUAUUCUUGAGCAACUUGGGAUGGAAGUGGCAGUGAAAGUUCUAAACCUGCAGCAAAGAGGAGCUUCAAAUAGUUUCCUGUCAGAAUGUUUAGCUCUUGGAAGCAUUAGGCACAGAAAUCUACUGAAGCUACUGAGUGUUUGCUCUAGCAUGGACUUUGAAGGCAAUGAUUUCAAA
RNAcentral lists this unclassified non-coding RNA (269 nucleotides) under Hevea brasiliensis (rubber tree). The record is from RNAcentral. Lineage: Eukaryota; Viridiplantae; Streptophyta; Magnoliopsida; Malpighiales; Euphorbiaceae.